GCGGGCGUGGCGGAAUUGGCAGACGCGCUAGACUUAGGAUCUAGUGGGGAGACCCGUGAGAGUUCGACUCUCUCCGUCCGCAC
RNAcentral lists this transfer RNA (83 nucleotides) under bioreactor metagenome. RNAcentral's name for it is "tRNA-Leu". It matches the Rfam family "tRNA". Rfam says of the family: Transfer RNA (tRNA) molecules are approximately 80 nucleotides in length. Their secondary structure includes four short double-helical elements and three loops (D, anti-codon, and T loops). Further hydrogen bonds mediate the characteristic L-shaped molecular structure. tRNAs have two regions of fundamental functional importance: the anti-codon, which is responsible for specific mRNA codon recognition, and the 3' end, to which the tRNAs corresponding amino acid is attached (by aminoacyl-tRNA synthetases). tRNAs cope with the degeneracy of the genetic code in two manners: having more than one tRNA (with a specific anti-codon) for a particular amino acid; and 'wobble' base-pairing, i.e. permitting non-standard base-pairing at the 3rd anti-codon position. The record is from RNAcentral.